CAUCCAGUUUUCUAAAUUAUGGAAAUUUUGUGGAAGACGUUGACCUGGAUUUUGAGCCUCAUCAUGGCUUCAUCGGAAUUUCAUAGUGACCACAGGCUUUCAUACAGUUCUCAAGAGGAAUUCCUGACUUAUCUUGAACACUACCAGCUAACUAUUCCAAUAAGGGUUGAUCAAAAUGGAGCAUUUCUCAGCUUUACUGUGAAAAAUGAUAAACACUCAAGGAGAAGACGGAGUAUGGACCCUAUUGAUCCACAGCAGGCAGUAUCUAAGUUAUUUUUUAAACUUUCAGCCUAUGGCAAGCACUUUCAUCUAAACUUGACUCUCAACACAGAUUUUGUGUCCAAACAUUUUACAGUAGAAUACUGGGGGAAAGAUGGACCCCAGUGGAAACAUGAUUUUUUAGACAACUGUCAUUACACAGGAUAUUUGCAAGAUCAACGUAGUACAACUAAAGUGGCUUUAAGCAACUGUGUUGGGUUGCAUGGUGUUAUUGCUACAGAAGAUGAAGAAUAUUUUAUUGAACCUUUAAAGAAUACCACAGAGGAUUCCAAGCAUUUUAGUUAUGAAAAUGGCCACCCUCACGUUAUUUACAAAAAGUCUGCCCUUCAACAACGACAUCUGUAUGAUCACUCUCAUUGUGGGGUUUCGGAUUUCACAAGAAGUGGCAAACCUUGGUGGCUGAAUGACACAUCCACUGUUUCUUAUUCACUACCAGUUAACAACACACAUAUCCACCACAGACAGAAGAGAUCAGUGAGCAUUGAACGGUUUGUGGAGACAUUGGUAGUGGCAGACAAAAUGAUGGUGGGCUACCAUGGCCGCAAAGACAUUGAACAUUACAUUUUGAGUGUGAUGAAUAUUGUUGCCAAACUUUACCGUGAUUCCAGCCUAGGAAACGUAGUGAAUAUUAUAGUGGCCCGCUUAAUUGUUCUCACCGAAGACCAGCCAAACUUGGAGAUAAACCACCAUGCAGACAAGUCCCUCGAUAGCUUCUGUAAAUGGCAGAAAUCCAUUCUCUCCCACCAAAGUGAUGGAAACACCAUUCCAGAAAAUGGGAUUGCCCACCACGAUAAUGCAGUUCUUAUUACUAGAUAUGAUAUCUGCACUUAUAAAAAUAAGCCCUGUGGAACACUGGGCUUGGCCUCUGUGGCUGGAAUGUGUGAGCCUGAAAGGAGCUGCAGCAUUAAUGAAGACAUUGGCCUGGGUUCAGCUUUUACCAUUGCACAUGAGAUUGGUCACAAUUUUGGUAUGAACCAUGAUGGAAUUGGAAAUUCUUGUGGGACGAAAGGUCAUGAAGCAGCAAAACUUAUGGCAGCUCACAUUACUGCGAAUACCAAUCCUUUUUCCUGGUCUGCGUGCAGUCGAGACUACAUCACCAGCUUUCUAGAUUCAGGCCGUGGUACUUGCCUUGAUAAUGAGCCUCCCAAGCGUGACUUUCUUUAUCCAGCUGUGGCCCCAGGUCAGGUGUAUGAUGCUGAUGAGCAAUGUCGUUUCCAGUAUGGAGCAACCUCCCGCCAAUGUAAAUAUGGGGAAGUGUGUAGAGAGCUCUGGUGUCUCAGCAAAAGCAACCGCUGUGUCACCAACAGUAUUCCAGCAGCUGAGGGGACACUGUGUCAAACUGGGAAUAUUGAAAAAGGGUGGUGUUAUCAGGGAGAUUGUGUUCCUUUUGGCACUUGGCCCCAGAGCAUAGAUGGGGGCUGGGGUCCCUGGUCACUAUGGGGAGAGUGCAGCAGGACCUGCGGGGGAGGCGUCUCCUCAUCCCUAAGACACUGUGACAGUCCAGCACCUUCAGGAGGUGGAAAAUAUUGCCUUGGGGAAAGGAAACGGUAUCGCUCCUGUAACACAGAUCCAUGCCCUUUGGGUUCCCGAGAUUUUCGAGAGAAACAGUGUGCAGACUUUGACAAUAUGCCUUUCCGAGGAAAGUAUUAUAACUGGAAACCCUAUACUGGAGGUGGGGUAAAACCUUGUGCAUUAAACUGCUUGGCUGAAGGUUAUAAUUUCUACACUGAACGUGCUCCUGCGGUGAUCGAUGGGACGCAGUGCAAUGCGGAUUCACUGGAUAUCUGCAUCAAUGGAGAAUGCAAGCACGUAGGUUGUGAUAAUAUUUUGGGAUCUGAUGCUAGAGAAGAUAGAUGUCGAGUCUGUGGAGGGGACGGAAGCACAUGUGAUGCCAUUGAAGGGUUCUUCAAUGAUUCACUGCCCAGGGGAGGCUACAUGGAAGUGGUGCAGAUACCAAGAGGCUCGGUUCACAUUGAAGUCAGAGAAGUUGCCAUGUCAAAGAACUAUAUUGCUUUAAAAUCUGAAGGAGAUGAUUACUAUAUUAAUGGUGCCUGGACUAUAGACUGGCCUAGGAAAUUUGAUGUCGCUGGGACAGCUUUUCACUACAAGAGACCAACUGAUGAACCAGAAUCCUUGGAAGCUCUAGGUCCUACCUCAGAAAAUCUCAUCAUCAUGGUUCUGCUUCAAGAACAGAAUUUGGGAAUUAGGUAUAAGUUCAAUGUUCCCAUCACUCGAACUGGCAGUGGAGAUAAUGAAGUUGGCUUUACAUGGAAUCAUCAGCCUUGGUCAGAAUGCUCAGCUACUUGUGCUGGAGGUAAGAUGCCCACUAGGCAGCCCACCCAGAGGGCAAGAUGGAGAACAAAACACAUUCUGAGCUAUGCUUUGUGUUUGUUAAAAAAGCUAAUUGGAAACAUUUCUUGCAGGUUUGCUUCAAGCUGUAAUUUAGCAAAAGAAACUUUGCUU
This 2742-nucleotide small RNA is filed under the name Pongo abelii (Sumatran orangutan). Its description in RNAcentral is "retained intron". The record is from RNAcentral. Lineage: Eukaryota; Metazoa; Chordata; Mammalia; Primates; Hominidae.